RNAcentral lists this ribosomal RNA (204 nucleotides) under uncultured bacterium. Its description in RNAcentral is "partial 16S ribosomal RNA". It matches the Rfam family "Bacterial small subunit ribosomal RNA", at positions 568 to 774 of the family's 1533-position model. The record is from RNAcentral.
CACGUAGGCGGCUUUGCAAGUCGGAUGUGAAAUCCCCGGGCUCAACCUGGGAACUGCAUUCGAGACUGCUUUGCUUGAGUAUGGGAGAGGGAGGCGGAAUUUCCGGUGUAGCGGUGAAAUGCGUAGAUAUCGGAAGGAACAUCAGUGGCGAAAGCGGCCUCCUGGACCAAUACUGACGCUCAUGUGAAGCGUGGGAGGCAAACA